GAGAAAUCCUUUUUUCUGGGGUUCCCCAUUUGUUAUUUUAUUAGCUACUUACUUUGCAAGGUGAGGAGCUUUGAUCUUUGAAAUUUUGGUAAUUAUGUCCCCUUGGAGUCCCUUAGAGGAUGGGGGUUUCCUCUCUCUCUGUGUUGGUGGAAUUAUAUUAUUUCAAAUUCCUAUUCCCUGAUUAAGAAAAAUUUUGGAUUUAUCAGCGAUUUGCUGGAUUUGAAGAGUUGUAUAUAUAGAGGUUCCUUCUAUGAGUCUUGUAUAUGUUCCAGUAGUUAUCCAUUUUGCUGUUCAAGUCAUGACUAGACCACCAAGUUAUU
RNAcentral lists this unclassified non-coding RNA (320 nucleotides) under Hevea brasiliensis (rubber tree). Lineage: Eukaryota; Viridiplantae; Streptophyta; Magnoliopsida; Malpighiales; Euphorbiaceae. The record is from RNAcentral.